GCGAUGAGCUAAUUUACGUAAGACGAGAGAUAUGCUUAAGUGCUAAACACGCGGAUGUGGCCGCCUGGUCUCUCGCCGUAAAACGCAUCAAGACGCCUGCUAAUUUCAGGCGUC
This 114-nucleotide small RNA is filed under the name Bacillus cytotoxicus NVH 391-98. RNAcentral's name for it is "BsrF". It matches the Rfam family "BsrF". Lineage: Bacteria; Bacillati; Bacillota; Bacilli; Caryophanales; Bacillaceae. The record is from Rfam by way of RNAcentral.